ACUACUUUGGCAGACUAAUGUGUUAAAUUUAGAAUUUAUUUAUGUAAUUUUUAUUACAGGUAGUA
This 65-nucleotide transfer RNA is filed under the name Insulaphylus sp. ph6. Its description in RNAcentral is "tRNA-Leu". The record is from RNAcentral. Lineage: Eukaryota; Metazoa; Arthropoda; Insecta; Hemiptera; Miridae.